UGUAUAACAUUCUGUUGUCUACUUCUUUGUGUCUCUUGCAGCACUGGCUGGAUGUGUCCAAGCCCAUAAAGAAACAGAUCAGAGAUGGUCCUCCAUACAGACUGUUCUUCAGGGUGAAGUUCUACUCCUCAGAGCCCAAUAACCUACAUGAGGAGUUCACCAGGUACCUGUUUGUGCUGCAGCUUCGACAAGACAUUCUGUCCGGCAAGUUGAAGUGUCCAUAUGAUGUCUCAGUAGACCUGGGGGCUACUGCUUACAGAGUGAGCUGGGGGACUGUGACCCUCUAGAGCAUUCUCCUGAGCUGUGGUCAGAGUUCCGCUUCACACCCCAAACAGAGUGAACCAUGGAGGCAGACAUCUUUAACAAGUG
Molecule: long non-coding RNA, 369 nt
Organism: Salvelinus sp. IW2-2015
Lineage: Eukaryota; Metazoa; Chordata; Actinopteri; Salmoniformes; Salmonidae
Source: RefSeq, a predicted model, not a curated record